This 465-nucleotide ribosomal RNA is filed under the name uncultured bacterium. RNAcentral describes it as "partial 16S ribosomal RNA". It matches the Rfam family "Bacterial small subunit ribosomal RNA", at positions 28 to 507 of the family's 1533-position model. The record is from RNAcentral.
GACGAACGCUGGCGGCGUGCUUAACACAUGCAAGUCGAACGGAAAGGCCCUGCUUGCAGGGUACUCGAGUGGCGAACGGGUGAGUAACACGUGGGUGAUCUGCCCUGCACUUCGGGAUAAGCCUGGGAAACUGGGUCUAAUACCGGAUAGGAGCCAUUUUUAGUGUGAUGGUUGGAAAGUUUUUUCGGUGUAGGAUGAGCUCGCGGCCUAUCAGCUUGUUGGUGGGGUAAUGGCCUACCAAGGCGGCGACGGGUAGCCGGCCUGAGAGGGUGGACGGCCACAUUGGGACUGAGAGACGGCCCAGACGCCUACGGGGGGCAGCAGUGGGGAAUAUUGCACAAUGGGCGCAAGCCUGAUGCAGCGACGCCGCGGGGGGGAUGACGGCCUUCGGGUUGUAAACUCCUUUCGCUAGGGACGAAGCUUUUUGUGACGGUACCUAGAUAAGAAGCACCGGCUAACUACGUG